Echinops telfairi (small Madagascar hedgehog) is the source of this 121-nucleotide small nucleolar RNA. Lineage: Eukaryota; Metazoa; Chordata; Mammalia; Afrosoricida; Tenrecidae. The record is from Ensembl.
UCCCUCCGGAUUCCUUACCCGUCGGACCUACCCACUGAUCGCAGUGGUUAGAAAAGGAGGAAGAGUAAAAUGGAAACUGGCUUUCAUGCUUUUGUGACCCACAGGCUAGUUUUAAACAAAC